GGGGGGGACAAGAGGAGGACAGCAGCAGAGGAGGUGGGGGGGGGCAGGGGAGGACAAGAGGAGGACAGCAGCAGAGGAGGUGGGUGAGGACAAGAGGAGGACAGCAGCAGAGGAGGUGGGGCGGGGAGGAGGACAAGAGGACAAGAGGAGGAUAGUAGCAGAGGGGAUGGGGGGAGGACAAGAGGAGGACAGCAGCAGAGGAUGUGGGGGGGGGACAAGAGGAGGACAGCAGCAGAGGAGGUGGGGCGGGGGAGGACAAGAGGAGGACAGCAGCAGAGGAGGUGGGGUGGGGGAGGACAAGAGGAGGACAGCAGCAGAGG
Molecule: long non-coding RNA, 320 nt
Organism: Oncorhynchus tshawytscha (Chinook salmon)
Lineage: Eukaryota; Metazoa; Chordata; Actinopteri; Salmoniformes; Salmonidae
Source: Ensembl